RNAcentral lists this transfer RNA (90 nucleotides) under Gammaproteobacteria bacterium. RNAcentral's name for it is "tRNA-Ser". It matches the Rfam family "tRNA". Rfam says of the family: Transfer RNA (tRNA) molecules are approximately 80 nucleotides in length. Their secondary structure includes four short double-helical elements and three loops (D, anti-codon, and T loops). Lineage: Bacteria; Pseudomonadati; Pseudomonadota; Gammaproteobacteria. The record is from RNAcentral.
GGAGAGGUGCCAGAGUGGUCGAAUGGGGCUGACUCGAAAUCAGUUGACCUCGUAAGAGGUCCGGGGGUUCGAAUCCCUCCCUCUCCGCCA